RNAcentral lists this ribosomal RNA (247 nucleotides) under uncultured bacterium. Its description in RNAcentral is "partial 16S ribosomal RNA". It matches the Rfam family "Bacterial small subunit ribosomal RNA", at positions 109 to 353 of the family's 1533-position model. The record is from RNAcentral.
AGUAACGCGUGAGUAACCUGCCUUCAAGAGGGGGAUAACAUUCUGAAAAGAAUGCUAAUACCGCAUGACAUAUCGGAACCACAUGGUUUUGAUAUCAAAGAUUUUAUCGCUUGAAGAUGGACUCGCGUCCGAUUAGUUAGUUGGUGAGGUAACGGCUCACCAAGGCGACGAUCGGUAGCCGAACUGAGAGGUUGAACGGCCACAUUGGGACUGAGACACGGCCCAGACUCCUACGGGAGGCAGCAUG